GACGAACGCUGGCGGCGUGCUUAACACAUGCAAGUCGAACGGAAAGGCCCUGCUUUUGUGGGGUGCUCGAGUGGCGAACGGGUGAGUAACACGUGAGUAACCUGCCCUUGACUUUGGGAUAACUUCAGGAAACUGGGGCUAAUACCGGAUAGGAGCUCCUGCUGCAUGGUGGGGGUUGGAAAGUUUCGGCGGUUGGGGAUGGACUCGCGGCUUAUCAGCUUGUUGGUGGGGUAGUGGCUUACCAAGGCUUUGACGGGUAGCCGGCCUGAGAGGGUGACCGGCCACAUUGGGACUGAGAUACGGCCCAGACUCCUACGGGAGGCAGCAGUGGGGAAUAUUGCACAAUGGGCGGAAGCCUGAUGCAGCAAUGCCGCGUGCGGGAUGACGGCCUUCGGGUUGUAAACCGCCUUCGCCUGUGACGAAGCGUGAGUGACGGUAAUGGGUAAAGAAGCACCGGCUAACUACGUG
Molecule: ribosomal RNA, 468 nt
Filed under: uncultured bacterium
Lineage: Bacteria
Description: partial 16S ribosomal RNA
Rfam family: Bacterial small subunit ribosomal RNA
Source: RNAcentral